UAGUCUGGAGAACAUCGCUGGACCUUAUGACUACCAUUCUUAUGGACUAUCUCGUUGAGGAUCUACAAUGUGAAUUUAUCAUAUGAACUACUCUUUGUAUCCUGUGUUCCCAUGUUUAUAGCUGGUGUUUCUCUACAUUCCCUUCCUCAUUAAAUGCACCUUUGUUCUGUUGAACUUUGGCUUCUGCUCAUUCUUCCAGCCUGACCCAGGCACAGGAAUAUAAACUGAGUAUUUCUGAGACUGGAGACGUACCAGGAGCAAAGCCUACUAUUCAUGUGCAAGCGGUUCCUUUUUGGAUUUUGAACAUUCAGUGGAGGAUGCAGAAAUGGAAGAUCUGUCCAGUUAUUCUGUAGCGCUUCCUGAAACUAGAGGAAGAUUGGGAUCACAGCCUUUCUAGAUGUGAAACCACCUCCAGCAGCUUUGAUUCUAACAAAGAAAUUCUGGCAGCACUUUAUUUUGAUGUUUUGUUAUUAACCAAGUUUCCAUUGGUUAGGUGAGGAAGACUCCAGGUCCAACCUUCAACUGCUGGAGGGCCUGGACGUUCCCUUUAUGUUAAUUUUAUGAUUUGCUGCCAAGUUCAUGUGUACCAUUGCUCUCUUUUGCUUCAAUAAAAUAUGGAUUUUUGUCUGA
Long non-coding RNA from Silurus meridionalis, 630 nucleotides. RefSeq lists it as uncharacterized. The transcript is spliced from 2 exons. NCBI's taxonomy places the organism in Eukaryota, Metazoa, Chordata, Actinopteri, Siluriformes, Siluridae. The record is from RefSeq and is a predicted model, not a curated record.